AAUAGUUGAUAUAAAUGAUAAAUAAACAAAGCAUAAUGCAGGCUAAACAUAAGAACCAUAUUUCAUAGACUGGUUCAAAAUUUUCAGAGUAAACUAUUGCCUGAAAUAUUUUUGUGAGUAAAGAGUGACUAACAAGAUGAAAGUGUUCUUCAACCAGCUGGUAACAAUAUUUUCAAUGUCAGACAUCAGCUAAUGCAGGGGCUAGAAAGCUAUUUGAGCAAUAUGCAUGCUCAAAUUCUAAUUUAGUUUCUUAAAAAAUUAAAAAUGUUUAUUAAAACUGAUCAUCAACUUGUAAAUGCUACUUUAAAAGUACCUUAUGUUGAAAUGAAAUGAUUACAGUAAUAUAUUAAAUAAAGUAAUUAUUGCAAACAUAAUAAGCUAAAAUUUUGAAAUAUUACACAAAUCUACAGAGUCACAGCUGGCUAAGUUGCUACAAUAUUUGUUUACACAUUGAAUAAUCAACAGUGUAUAUUUUAUCAUUCCUACUACAUUGGUCCAGAAUAAACAAUACUAGUCUGCCUAGCUGGAAAUUGUUACCAUAAAGAGAUACAAUUUCAUAUUCUAAACAACAAUGUAUUAAAUUGAUGAGUGUUGUGUCAGCUUGUAACCAAAGCUCAAAACUUCCCAUAAGCAAAAUCUAGGAAAGAAUGUCCUAUCCAGGAGCAGAACUCUAACUACUUAAGAUAAUGAAAACUGAAAGAACUUUAGUACACUGAUAUAGUUUAGUAACAGAAGAUAAAUAUAAAUUAAAAAAGAUGGCUACAUGAUGAUCUACAGCUUUCCAGUUAGUUCAGUAUGGAGAACCAAGAAUCCAUAUGAAAAACCCAGUUGGGAAUUCACUGGAAGAGGUUUGAAGCAUAAAGAUGAUAAGCAGAUGACAUAUCUGUCUCUCAAAUUUCUUAGAGAAUAGAUGUCCUACGAGAAUAAAAGGCAAUUUCAAUAGAUUUAAAUGGAAGACAACAAAUUCCAGCUGAAGUGUUUCAUUAAGAUUUUAUUUUAUGACAUAAUUAUUCAAAACUAUAAAGUAAUGAAACAAAAAAAAAAUUUUAAUUAGAGAAAUAAAUCUUUAAAUAAUGUAUUUAUUUCCUAGUUUGGCGUUUAUCUAUUUUGACUCUUCCUUAUUUGUUAAGAUUCUGAAAAUUUUGAUAUUUACAAAUUUAUGCAAAUAUCAAAUGUUUUCAGACUUAGAUGGCAUUCUUGUAGACAACCAAACAUAUGUAUUGCUUAACAGUAGAAUGUGAAAGCUGUUAACCCAUUAACUAUUGUCUAACAGUCCAUUAUCUUAACCAAUGUAUUUCUUCAACACAAUAUAGUAAUAAAGAAAAUAAUUAACUAUUUGUAA
Molecule: long non-coding RNA, 1342 nt
Organism: Octopus sinensis (East Asian common octopus)
Lineage: Eukaryota; Metazoa; Mollusca; Cephalopoda; Octopoda; Octopodidae
Exons: 3
Source: RefSeq, a predicted model, not a curated record